This 468-nucleotide ribosomal RNA is filed under the name uncultured bacterium. RNAcentral describes it as "partial 16S ribosomal RNA". It matches the Rfam family "Bacterial small subunit ribosomal RNA", at positions 28 to 507 of the family's 1533-position model. The record is from RNAcentral.
GACGAACGCUGGCGGCGUGCUUAACACAUGCAAGUCGAACGGAAAGGCCCUGCUUUUGUGGGGUGCUCGAGUGGCGAACGGGUGAGUAACACGUGAGUAACCUGCCCUUGACUUUGGGAUAACUUCAGGAAACUGGGGCUAAUACCGGAUAGGAGCUCCUGCUGCAUGGUGGGGGUUGGAAAGUUUCGGCGGUUGGGGAUGGACUCGCGGCUUAUCAGCUUGUUGGUGGGGUAGUGGCUUACCAAGGCUUUGACGGGUAGCCGGCCUGAGAGGGUGAACGGCCACAUUGGGACUGAGAUACGGCCCAGACUCCUACGGGAGGCAGCAGUGGGGAAUAUUGCACAAUGGGCGGAAGCCUGAUGCAGCAACGCCGCGUGCGGGAUGACGGCCUUCGGGUUGUAAACCGCUUUCGCCUGUGACGAAGCGUGAGUGACGGUAAUGGGUAAAGAAGCACCGGCUAACUACGUG